AGGAUGAACGCUGGCGGCGUGCUUAAGACAUGCAAGUCGAACGCAGACCCGGUAGCAAUACUGGGACUGAGUGGCGAAUGGGUGCGUAACACGUAGGUGACCUGCCCUGAAGUGGGGAAUAACAGUCCGAAAGGACUGCUAAUACCGCAUGCGGUUCGGCCGGUUAGAGGCGGCUCAACCAAAGGUCGCAAGAUCGCUUCAGGAGGGCCUGCGCCCAUCAGCUAGGUUGGUAGGGUAACGCCUACCAAGGCGACGACGGGUAGGGACCUGAGAGGGUCGGCCCCCACACUGGCACUGACACGACGGGCCAGACUCCUACGGGAGCAGCAGUCGGGAAUACGUGACCCAAUGGAACGAAAGUCGUGAGGCAGCAACGCCGCGU
This 382-nucleotide ribosomal RNA is filed under the name uncultured soil bacterium. RNAcentral describes it as "bacterial SSU rRNA". It matches the Rfam family "Bacterial small subunit ribosomal RNA", at positions 26 to 402 of the family's 1533-position model. The record is from RNAcentral.